This 292-nucleotide long non-coding RNA is filed under the name Homo sapiens (human). Its description in RNAcentral is "non-protein coding lnc-RLBP1-2:1". The record is from RNAcentral. Lineage: Eukaryota; Metazoa; Chordata; Mammalia; Primates; Hominidae.
CCUGUAUCAACAAAACAAAACACAACACCAACCUAAAAAGAAUGAAGCUGCUCUGGUAGAAGGGGCCUCACCCUGAGAGAUCGCUUAUGAACAUCUGGAGCUAAGAAGGUAUUUCAAGUACGAGAACUGUCAAUGGUGCUUUGGGGUCAUGUGAGAAAGGAAUAGAGACUAGUGUUUGCCAAGGUGGAGGGCACUGGUGACCUGCGUGGAGGUGUUGAUGGAAGGGGGUGGUGAUGAGGCUGAGUUAAAUAAUUAAAAGGAAUGGGUAUUUUUGGCCAGGCGCAGUGACUCA